GACGAACGCUGGCGGCGUGCCUAACACAUGCAAGUCGAACGGAAAGGUCCGGCUUUUGGGCGGUGCGCGAGUUGCGAACGGGGGAGUAACACUUGAGUAAGGUGUACCUGACUGUGGGAUGUGCUAAGGCAACUUGGGCUAAUAGGGGAUAGGAGCUCUUGCCGCUUGGUGGGGGCUGGAAAGUUUCGGGGGUUGGGGGUGGACACGCGGCUGAUCAGCGUGUUGGUGGGGUAGUGGCCUACCAAGGCGACGACCGGUAGCCGGUCUGAGAGGAUGAUCAGCCACAUUGGGACUGAGACACGGCCCAGACUCCUACGGGAGGCAGCAGUGGGGAAUAUUGGACAAUGGGCGAAAGCCUGAUCCAGCAAUGCCGCGUGAGUGAUGAAGGCCUUAGGGUUGUAAAGCUCUUUUACCCGGGAUGAUAAUGACGGUACCGGGAGAAGAAGCCCCGGCUAACUCCGUG
RNAcentral lists this ribosomal RNA (463 nucleotides) under uncultured bacterium. RNAcentral's name for it is "partial 16S ribosomal RNA". It matches the Rfam family "Bacterial small subunit ribosomal RNA", at positions 28 to 507 of the family's 1533-position model. The record is from RNAcentral.